UACGUAGGUGGCAAGCGUUGUCCGGAAUUAUUGGGCGUAAAGCGCUUGUAGGCGGCUUGUUAAGUCCUGUGUGAAAGCCCUUGGCUUAACCAAGGAAGUGCGCAGGAAACUGGCGAGCUUGAGUGCCGGAGAGGGUCGCGGAAUUCCCGGUGUAGAGGUGAAAUUCGUAGAUAUCGGGAGGAACACCAGUGGCGAAGGCGGCGACCUGGACGGACACUGACGCUGAGACGCGAAAGCGUGGGGAGCAAACAGG
RNAcentral lists this ribosomal RNA (253 nucleotides) under uncultured bacterium. RNAcentral describes it as "partial 16S ribosomal RNA". It matches the Rfam family "Bacterial small subunit ribosomal RNA", at positions 524 to 776 of the family's 1533-position model. The record is from RNAcentral.